RNAcentral lists this non-coding RNA (45 nucleotides) under Schistosoma bovis. The record is from RNAcentral. Lineage: Eukaryota; Metazoa; Platyhelminthes; Trematoda; Strigeidida; Schistosomatidae. RNAcentral also lists the same sequence under 1 other name.
AUCCGGCUGACGAGUCCCAAAUGGGACGAAAUGUGAAUCCACGAU